Molecule: ribosomal RNA, 913 nt
Filed under: Phanerochaete bambusicola
Lineage: Eukaryota; Fungi; Basidiomycota; Agaricomycetes; Polyporales; Phanerochaetaceae
Description: LSU rRNA
Rfam family: Eukaryotic large subunit ribosomal RNA
Source: RNAcentral
AGCAUAUCAAUAAGCGGAGGAAAAGAAACUAACAGGAUUCCCCUAGUAACUGCGAGUGAAGCGGGAAAAGCUCAAAUUUAAAAUCUGGCAGCUUUGGCUGUCCGAGUUGUAAUCUGGAGAAGCGUCUUCCGCGCUGGACCGUGUACAAGUCUCCUGGAACGGAGCGUCAUAGAGGGUGAGAAUCCCGUCUUUGACACGGACUACCAGUGCUUUGUGAUGCGCUCUCAAAGAGUCGAGUUGUUUGGGAAUGCAGCUCAAAAUGGGUGGUAAACUCCAUCUAAAGCUAAAUAUUGGCGAGAGACCGAUAGCGAACAAGUACCGUGAGGGAAAGAUGAAAAGCACUUUGGAAAGAGAGUUAAACAGUACGUGAAAUUGCUGAAAGGGAAACGCUUGAAGUCAGUCGCGUUUGCUAGGACUCAGCCUUGCCUCGGCUUGGUGCAUUUCCUAGUAGACGGGCCAGCAUCACUUUUGACUGCGGGAAAAGGAUCAGAGGAAUGUGGCACCCUCGGGUGUGUUAUAGCCUCUGGUUGUAUACCGUGGUUGGGAGUGAGGAACUCAGCACGCCUUACGGGCGGGGCUUCGGCCACCUUCGUGCUUAGGAUGCUGGCGUAAUGGCUUUAAACGACCCGUCUUGAAACACGGACCAAGGAGUCUAACAUGCCUGCGAGUGUUUGGGUGGAAAACCCGAGCGCGUAAUGAAAGUGAAAGUUGGGAUCUCUGUCGUGGAGAGCACCGACGCCCGGACCAGACCUUCUGUGACGGAUCCGCGGUAGAGCAUGUAUGUUGGGACCCGAAAGAUGGUGAACUAUGCCUGAAUAGGGUGAAGCCAGAGGAAACUCUGGUGGAGGCUCGUAGCGAUUCUGACGUGCAAAUCGAUCGUCAAAUUUGGGUAUAGGGGCGAAAGACUAAUCGA